Molecule: non-coding RNA, 175 nt
Organism: Blautia sp. CAG:37
Lineage: Bacteria; Bacillati; Bacillota; Clostridia; Lachnospirales; Lachnospiraceae
Source: Rfam
GAAGUGGAUAGAGGUCGCAUUACUUCAAGAGUACCUUUUCGGAUGCCUCAGCAGCAAAAGAAGAAGAGGAAAAGGGAAGAAUGCCGAAGGACAUCCGGCGCUGAACCGGUAUGCUCCUGGGCGCAGGUUGAAAAAAUCUGCGACUGUCAUCGAGAGAUGGAGAGCUAUCUGAUCA